UCCUACGGGGGGCAGCAGUGAGGAAUAUUGGUCAAUGGGCGGGAGCCUGAACCAGCCAAGUCGCGUGAGGGAAGACGGUCCUAUGGAUUGUAAACCUCUUUUGUCGGGGAGCAAAGAGACCACGUGUGGUCAAAAGCGAGAGUACCCGAAGAAAAAGCAUCGGCUAACUCCGUGCCAGCAGCCGCGGUAAUACGGAGGAUGCGAGCGUUAUCCGGAUUUAUUGGGUUUAAAGGGUGCGCAGGCGGAAGAUCAAGUCAGCGGUAAAAUUGAGAGGCUCAACCUCUUCGAGCCGUUGAAACUGGUUU
RNAcentral lists this ribosomal RNA (305 nucleotides) under uncultured bacterium. RNAcentral's name for it is "bacterial SSU rRNA". It matches the Rfam family "Bacterial small subunit ribosomal RNA", at positions 337 to 639 of the family's 1533-position model. The record is from RNAcentral.